UUUUACUCUUUCACUUUUUUUUUUCUUUUUGGUAAACAACAAUACUCAGCGACAAACAUCAGCAGAAAGCAGCAGAGACUGAGAAAAUGUUCAAAGUGUUCAGUGGCAGUGGGAAGAGGAACAACAAAGAUUUACAGCAGAGAGGGAUAACAUCUGCAGAGUAAACCUCACUGAGAGGGAUAACAUCUGCAGAGUAAACCUCACUGAGAUGGAAUUCCUAAUUAAAGAAAAAAUGAAAACAAAGAAGGAUUGUCAGGAAACAAAUGCUGUCCUGCUAAACAUGCUCAGGAAGUUGAGGGAUAUAGAGGUAGAGCACCAUGGCUGCAGCCAGAUGCUGAGGCUCCAGGCCAACCAUCUGGAUUUCAAGGAAAAACGUCAGGAGAGACUCAUCAGGGAACUGGAGGUAAAGCUUUCCCUGCUGCUGGGAGUCUCAGCAAGCAUGGGUACAAGUGAUCACUUUCAUUUCUGAGGGUUGGAACCUCUGAGUUGGGCUAUGUAUGCCUUGUGUUUGAUUAACAAAAUGUGGAGCGUCAGUUUUGUAGGAAAGGCAAAAGCUGGUGUUUGAGCAGCAGAUGGGAAGAGGUUUAUGUCACUGGGAAAAUACUCUUAUAGAGGUAUAGGGGAAAUAUUUGUGUAGGAUUUGUGAAUUUUAUUUUUUUUUAAUUAAGCUUGUUAAGUAGUUAAAUCUUGUGGGAGGAGGCAAUGCUUAAGCCUUUUGGCUGAUGUUGUGGAGUAGGUUUGGUAAGCUCUGUGCUGUUGCUGAUUUUCUCUUUAAUACGACUUCCACAGAUCUCUGUUUCUCAAUUAUUUUCUUUUUGUGAAUGUGAGAGAUUACACAGAGUUUAAAUUUAUUGCCAACAACCCGUAUUUUAAAAUUUUUGCUUAUUUUUCUGUGAAUGUUUCCCUACUGAGGUGCUUAGAGCCAAGAUUCAGUAUCACAUGCUUGCUACUUUGCUUUAGCUGGCCAAAAUCAAUGACUUCACUUGUAUAUAUGUAACCUUAAGUGUCUUAAAUGACUGCUGGAGUCUGAGACACAGAGUGUGUGCCCUUGUUUCUGAUACUUAGCUCUAAGAUCCAGAAAAACACUGAAUUUCAUAUAAUAUGAAAUUCAUGAGCAUGUUUUCAUGGUGAUGAAACAUAUGAAAACAACUGUAAAAGUUAGAUAGAAAAAGCUAAAAGUGUGAGAGUGUAGAUUAGAGAGUUUUCUUAAGUCAAUGGGUGAAAAAGUUAGUUUAGAUUUUAAGUUAAUUUACAAAGCAGAAGGCAAGAUGGAGGAUUUAGAAUGUUGUUUCUUUUCCUUCUUUCUUCUUCAUGUUCUUCUUCUAGAGGUUUUUGGGUAAUAGUGAGUGAUUGGACAGAAAAUGCCACAGCGCAGCACACAGCUGAUGGGUCAUUGGGUCAUUAAGAAAAAUAAUAUACAUGUCUAUUGUUAAUUGGGUGAAAAUAGGUAUAAAGAUAAAAGAACUGCUUGGUUUGGGACCAUUUUGUGUCUUCAAAGGCCAAAGUGAGCCACAAAGUGAGCCACAAGGCCUUUCUGUACCACCAGAGGAAAAUGAACCAGAUUGCAGUGAACUGAACCUGUGCAGCAAUUCUGGAGACACCUGCCAGGUUUUGUGAUAACAUCCUAAUAAACACAAGAAACAAGAUCCUAUCA
RNAcentral lists this long non-coding RNA (1654 nucleotides) under Cyanistes caeruleus (blue tit). RNAcentral describes it as "lncRNA (ENSCCEG00000004909.1)". The record is from RNAcentral. Lineage: Eukaryota; Metazoa; Chordata; Aves; Passeriformes; Paridae.